This 1372-nucleotide ribosomal RNA is filed under the name uncultured bacterium. RNAcentral describes it as "bacterial SSU rRNA". It matches the Rfam family "Bacterial small subunit ribosomal RNA", at positions 28 to 1381 of the family's 1533-position model. The record is from RNAcentral.
GAUGAACGCUGGCGGCGUGCCUAAUACAUGCAAGUCGAGCGAACGGACGAGAAGCUUGCUUCUCUGAUGUUAGCGGCGGACGGGUGAGUAACACGUGGAUAACCUACCUAUAAGACUGGGAUAACUUCGGGAAACCGGAGCUAAUACCGGAUAAUAUUUUGAACCGCAUGGUUCAAAAGUGAAAGACGGUCUUGCUGUCACUUAUAGAUGGAUCCGCGCUGCAUUAGCUAGUUGGUAAGGUAACGGCUUACCAAGGCAACGAUGCAUAGCCGACCUGAGAGGGUGAUCGGCCACACUGGAACUGAGACACGGUCCAGACUCCUACGGGAGGCAGCAGUAGGGAAUCUUCCGCAAUGGGCGAAAGCCUGACGGAGCAACGCCGCGUGAGUGAUGAAGGUCUUCGGAUCGUAAAACUCUGUUAUUAGGGAAGAACAUAUGUGUAAGUAACUGUGCACAUCUUGACGGUACCUAAUCAGAAAGCCACGGCUAACUACGUGCCAGCAGCCGCGGUAAUACGUAGGUGGCAAGCGUUAUCCGGAAUUAUUGGGCGUAAAGCGCGCGUAGGCGGUUUUUUAAGUCUGAUGUGAAAGCCCGCGGCUCAACCGUGGAGGGUCAUUGGAAACUGGAAAACUUGAGUGCAGAAGAGGAAAGUGGAAUUCCAUGUGUAGCGGUGAAAUGCGCAGAGAUAUGGAGGAACACCAGUGGCGAAGGCGACUUUCUGGUCUGUAACUGACGCUGAUGUGCGAAAGCGUGGGGAUCAAACAGGAUUAGAUACCCUGGUAGUCCACGCCGUAAACGAUAAGUGCUAAGUGUUAGGGGGUUUCCGCCCCUUAGUGCUGCAGCUAACGCAUUAAGCACUCCGCCUGGGGAGUACGACCGCAAGGUUGAAACUCAAAGGAAUUGACGGGGACCCGCACAAGCGGUGGAGCAUGUGGUUUAAUUCGAAGCAACGCGAAGAACCUUACCAAAUCUUGACAUCCUUUGACAACUCUAGAGAUAGAGCUUUCCCCUUCGGGGGACAAAGUGACAGGUGGUGCAUGGUUGUCGUCAGCUCGUGUCGUGAGAUGUUGGGUUAAGUCCCGCAACGAGCGCAACCCUUAAGCUUAGUUGCCAUCAUUAAGUUGGGCACUCUAAGUUGACUGCCGGUGACAAACCGGAGGAAGGUGGGGAUGACGUCAAAUCAUCAUGCCCCUUAUGAUUUGGGCUACACACGUGCUACAAUGGACAAUACAAAGGGCAGCGAAACCGUGAGGUCAAGCAAAUCCCAUAAAGUUGUUCUCAGUUCGGAUUGUAGUCUGCAACUCGACUACAUGAAGCUGGAAUCGCUAGUAAUCGUAGAUCAGCAUGCUACGGUGAAUACGUUCCCGGGUCU